Molecule: non-coding RNA, 561 nt
Organism: Pantherophis guttatus
Lineage: Eukaryota; Metazoa; Chordata; Lepidosauria; Squamata; Colubridae
Source: RefSeq, a predicted model, not a curated record
AGAGAUUACAGGAGGCUGUGCUCGUUCUGUUUCUCCGGGAGUCGAUCUUAGCGUUUUUCCCAUCCUCGUGUCUCUUCGUGUUAUGACACAGUACUCCAUUAUUUUGAUAAAUAAAUAAUUUAAUAGUUAAACAUUAAGCGUUAUUAGGGGCAAACGUAUAUUGAACUAAAAACGUGCAGUGAUUUUUUACCUAAAAUUGUCCAUAAGCGGUAACGAAACCCAAGCAUGAAAUCUGAACCAGCUCAUGAUUUUUAAUAUUUAGGUACCAACCAGACCUAUACUAUCUGCUCUCGCCUGGUAUCACGCUGUUACCAAUUCACCCUGUUUUGAGAUUCAAUAUCCAAGUGAGAUCUUGGGGCAAAGGGCAAUGAUCCAUUUAUCAGGAGGAUUCUGAAAAUGCCCAGCAUCAUUUAUAGACCAAUGUGACUGCAAACAGUUGCUAAACAAGGCAGUUGCUAAUAAAGACAACCUGUGCAGAAGCUACGUCCAAAAUAAAAGUCUGAAAUGUGACAUCCCAAUGAGAAAAGCAAUAGUAAAAUAAACAGUUGUCAUCCCAAAAUA